AAGAAAGGGGUUCCUUCUUUUGAACCCUAAACUCACUAUUCGAUCAAAAUCAGAGGGAAAACAAGCUAGGAAUUUGGGGCUUUUACUAAAUUCGCGAUCACCAAGACAAGGGGGUUGUAAGUUUGAUCCCGUCAAGCUAAGUGGGAGCUGGCAAGGAAUGGAUCAAACGGGUCAAGUGCGCAAGGAAAGCUCGAACGGACGCAAACCUCAUGUGUUUUCAGGGGCGAAUAGUAAUUUGGGUAAUUGCGUCGCCAUAAGAAU
Long non-coding RNA from Helianthus annuus (common sunflower), 261 nucleotides. RefSeq lists it as uncharacterized. NCBI's taxonomy places the organism in Eukaryota, Viridiplantae, Streptophyta, Magnoliopsida, Asterales, Asteraceae. The transcript is spliced from 3 exons. The record is from RefSeq and is a predicted model, not a curated record.